UCGCGCUAGACGGGGAGUUAGCGGUGCCCUGUACCCGCAAUCCGCUACAGCGGGGUCGAACUCCCCUCCUAGGGGGGGCGUUUCCGGGUCAGCUCUGAUCAUCCGGGUGCCGACGGUCGGGUCCGACGCGGCCGGUUACCGCCAACCCCGUCAGGUCCGGAAGGAAGCAGCGGCACGCGGAGCGACCGGGGCGCCGUCGGGCACCCCGGCCCGAGCCCGGUGGUCGGUAGGCGCCGGGGGCGGUCCCACGAAGAGGGGUGCGCGA
Molecule: signal recognition particle RNA, 265 nt
Filed under: Candidatus Dormiibacterota bacterium
Lineage: Bacteria; Bacillati; Candidatus Dormiibacterota
Description: signal recognition particle sRNA large type
Rfam family: Bacterial large signal recognition particle RNA
About the family: The signal recognition particle (SRP) is a universally conserved ribonucleoprotein involved in the co-translational targeting of proteins to membranes. Archaeal SRP consists of a 7S RNA and homologues of the eukaryotic SRP19 and SRP54 proteins.
Source: RNAcentral